GCGCUUCUCCUGGGGUAGGGAAGCAAGUCAUGGGUGUUUUACAGCCUGACUUUCUGGAAGAAGCAACAGGAUUGUACCCACCUAUAACGAGAAAGCUUAACUUACUGACAUAUUCUCAUUGCUGAAGACUCUGUCUGAAUGAGGAUUUCAAUCUCAAGUCUAGGAUGUGAUUUCAUCUGGUGAAGGGGAGAGGCAGACACGGAAGAAGCGCAUCUGUAGCUAAGAAAGAAAUACACUGACCCCAUUUCCAGUGGUUGAGCUUCUCUCCAAGUAGGUAGAUGCUGGCGAUGAAGACGUAGCUGAGAGAGAAGAAAGCUGCUAGACCCAAGAGGCUGAGUUUGGCAAACACAGGAUACACCCAGGUACCCGUCUCAAAGUAGAGCCAUAGGAUGCUGCAGGAAAUAAGAAGUCGUGGUGGUUAUAGCAGGAGGAGAAAAACAAGCCAUUUUCUCAUCAGGAUUAAUGAGGCAUUUUGGUUGAAUAAGAACUAAGGUUUGAACAGGAAAGAUGAGAAGAGCAGGAGAUGAGAUACCCUCUCCUCUCCUAGUCCUCCACCUCCAUCCCUCUUCAGUUUGGAUCCUGGCUGGGCUGGACCCCGCAUGUUGACAACAAGGAUGUGUUGUGUGGCAUCUUUUUAAUUAAUUUUCAUAUAUGAAUUUACAGGUAGGGUAAGGAUUUCUUCUGUGGAAAAUGGUGCUGAGAUUCCAAUCCCUGCUGAGUUGAGGUUAUAAAGCUAUGGUUGACCUGGAUGAUCUCAGUUGAAGGUCAUAUUUUGGAAACGGUAACAGUGGCUCUGGUAGGGAGUUCACAACAUGGUUGGUUCUGAGCAGGACCAACCAUGUGUUAGGGAAAAUAUUUAUUCAAUAGAAAAAUGAAUAAAAACCAGAAAGAGAAGAAGAGAAUUGCUGAUUCUGGAAAUGGCAAGGUGGCUGGUCCUGGAACUCAGCUUAGUCCACCCCUUGGCAGUUUUUAAUGUAUUCUCAGGGUAAGAUGUGUACAUGUAUUUGUAAAUGAGGCAUGAAUUUAAAGAACUGUUACUUCUGGGAACCCAGGAAGCUUUGCUGAGGGAUCUUACCCUGGAGAGCACAGUAUAAAAGAAAGUAAUUCUCUCUCUUGCCUCAUAGCAACUACUUUGGGGAAGGGACUUUACAAACAUCUGCCCCAAGGCUGGGUGACAGCUGCAUAUCUGUGCAGUGUUUGUACGGGGCAUGCAAUACUUUACACACUAGCAGGGACACCUGCAGCAUCAGUAGGUUUCUGGUCUACCAAGAGCAGUGUGAUGAUGCACUCCAGGCCAGCUGGGGUGGUUGCUGUGGCGAGUAACAUUGUUAAUUCUACCAACACAGGGGGCUGAUGGGUAAAUGACACUGUUGGCAUCAGCAGUGGGCAUGGUGUGCUAACCCUUAACACUGUGCCAGGUGGGGAUGUUGGACCCAGUGGGGAUUACAGUUUUGCUAUCUGUGUGUAAGAACAAUGCUCAGAACAGUGUGCAGCAUGGGUUGUGCAGUGCACGACAGGGGCAUGUGUGAGCACUCAGCAGAUUAUUGGAACUCCUUGGAAAACUGGACCAAGACCUCCAAGGCAGAAGGGUGCUUGGGGAUAUCACUGGAACUGUGAAAUAACCAUACAUAAAAACUAAGACAUUGUGAUCAAAGUACAUAAUGUGCUGGCUAGUUUUUAUUUUUAUAUUGGUUUAUAUUUUAUUUUGUUUCCCAUCUCUUGUCACUCCAACUUAUUUGAAGCACUAUUGUCAAGAAUGACAUUUUAAAGCAUAAUUUGCUGGCCAAGUUACAAAUACUGCUCACCCUUGCUUCCACUCCAAACAAACAAACAAACAACAGCAACAACAAAUGCUCCCAUUUUCUAUACUAUGUCCAACAUCCUCUAGUCUGCCAUCUGCAAGCCUUCAUGAGUGGGUAGUUCCAGGGAUAUUUCUCAUUAGUCUCUUUCACAAACAGGUCCAGCAAAGAGAAUUACUGACCCUUGCUCUCACGCUUUCUGCACUCUCCUGGCCUUGGGACUGUGCUCCUUUUGUUUACCUUCUCUCAUUUUUUCUAGCUCCAAUCCUGCCGGUCCUUCAGGGCUCAGAUCCAAUGCAUGCCUUCCACAGUGCCCUUCCCACACCGCUCAGCUGGAUGCAAACUCUUCCUUUUCUGUGGCUCCUUGUGUUUUUUUUAUGAGGUUUUACCACUUUCCAUCUUCUGCACUUAUAAUUUGUAUGCAUGGGUCAUCUCCACUUAUUAAGGAUAAACCCCCUGCAGGCUGAAGCUUGGCCUGAUAUAACAUUGCUUUUCUGGGCAGGACCAACCAUGUGUUAGGGAAAAUAUUUAUUC
RNAcentral lists this long non-coding RNA (2333 nucleotides) under Homo sapiens (human). RNAcentral's name for it is "novel transcript, antisense to ADTRP". The record is from RNAcentral. Lineage: Eukaryota; Metazoa; Chordata; Mammalia; Primates; Hominidae.